UACGAAUCUAGGCGAGCUACUGUUAGGCGUAUAGUAGUACGAAGUAUGUGGCACAAUAGUUAUAGACCUUACAGUAGGAGUGAAAGGCUAUCAAGUCUAGGGAUAUCUUGUUAACCUUGAGAUGUAUUUAGUACUACGUCGAUUUAUUAGUGAUAAGGCUGAUAAAAUUUAUGUAACUUGAUUUUUUUUUAUUUAUUACCUAGUUUAAUCGCUAGUAGUCAUAUUUACUUAAUAUUAAUAUUUACUGAUAAUAGCAACUAAAAGUUAAUACUCAAUUAAAAUAAGUAUUUAUACUGUAAGUAUUAGUAAUUAAGGUGCUGCUGAUGAACUCGGCAAAAUUUCUUUCACCUGUUUAUCAAAAACAUCGCCAGUAGGAGUUACUAUUGGUCAAUUCUGCUCCAUGUACAAUAAAUAGCCGCAGUACCCUGACUGUGCAAAGGUAGCAUAAUCAUUUGGCUUAUAAUUGAAGUCUGGCAUGAAUGAACACAUGGGGGAAAACUCUAUUAGCGGUAAUCCGUGAAAUUACUUAGUGGUUGAAAAUUACCACAUUAAAAUAAUAGACGAGAAGACCCUAGAAAUUUUGAUGACCUGUUAGUAUAAGUUUUUGUUGGGGCAACAUAGUAGCAUUUAACCUACAUUAAUGACACGACAUGUCUGUAGUUAGAGUAAAUUACUCUAGGGAUAACAGCGUAAUUCUCCGUGAGUUUGCGACCUCGAUGUUGGACUAGGAAGCAGAUACUUAGAA
This 745-nucleotide ribosomal RNA is filed under the name Amplirhagada puescheli. RNAcentral's name for it is "partial 16S ribosomal RNA". The record is from RNAcentral. Lineage: Eukaryota; Metazoa; Mollusca; Gastropoda; Stylommatophora; Camaenidae.